RNAcentral lists this ribosomal RNA (513 nucleotides) under uncultured bacterium. RNAcentral describes it as "bacterial SSU rRNA". It matches the Rfam family "Bacterial small subunit ribosomal RNA", at positions 153 to 653 of the family's 1533-position model. The record is from RNAcentral.
GAAAGGCGGGCUAAUACCGGAUAAUGUCCCACUAUAUAAGUAGUGUGACCAUAGGAGGCUCUGCUUCCGCCACGGGAUGAGUCCGCGUACCAUUAGCUAGUUGGUAGGGUAAUGGCCUACCAAGGCUACGAUGGUUAGCUGGUCUGAGAGGACGAUCAGCCACACUGGAACUGAGACACGGUCCAGACUCCUACGGGAGGCAGCAGUGGGGAAUAUUGCGCAAUGGNGGAAACCCUGACGCAGCGACGCCGCGUGAGCGAUGAAGGCCUUCGGGUCGUAAAGCUCUGUCAGGUGGGAAGAACCCUCCGUCGACUAAUAAUUGACGGAGCUGACGGUACCACCAGAGGAAGCACCGGCUAACUCCGUGCCAGCAGCCGCGGUAACACGGAGGAUGCAAGCGUUGUUCGGAAUCACUGGGCGUAAAGGACGCGCAGGCGGUCCGGUAAGUCAGAAGUGAAAUCCGUCGGCUCAACCGACGAACGGCUUCUGAUACUGCCGGACUUGAGUACGGGA